UACGUACCGUCCCAACGUUAUUCGGAAUCACUGGGCUUAAAGAGUUCGUAGGCGGCUCAGAAAGUUGGGUGUGAAAUCCCCCGGCUCAACCGGGGAAUGGCGCUCAAAACUACUGAGCUUGAGGGAGAUAGAGGUGAGCGGAACUGAUGGUGGAGCGGUGAAAUGCGUUGAUAUCAUCAGGAACACCGGAGGCGAAGGCGGCUCACUGGGUCUUACCUGACGCUGAGGAACGAAAGCUAGGGGAGCGAACGGG
RNAcentral lists this ribosomal RNA (253 nucleotides) under uncultured bacterium. Its description in RNAcentral is "partial 16S ribosomal RNA". It matches the Rfam family "Bacterial small subunit ribosomal RNA", at positions 524 to 776 of the family's 1533-position model. The record is from RNAcentral.